RNAcentral lists this ribosomal RNA (603 nucleotides) under Triticum aestivum (bread wheat). RNAcentral describes it as "partial small subunit ribosomal RNA". Lineage: Eukaryota; Viridiplantae; Streptophyta; Magnoliopsida; Poales; Poaceae. The record is from RNAcentral.
AUGAGAGAGGAGUGUCAGCCACCAUGGCUGCUAGCUUGCACUUUGCUGCUCUACAUUACUUUAUUUGUUGCUAAGUGUCUGCUUGCUAGAAAGAAAGUAGGCGCGCUCAGCGCACCAGACUUUGUUGUUUUACGUCGUGCACUUGAGGGCGACAACACACAUAGCUUGGGAGCUAUUGUGGCUCGCCGCCUGCAGCUUAAUAAAUCUCAGGGUCUAAUACAUGGUGGGAUUUUUGCUACUCGUUUGACGGAUCACUUUGAGGUUGAGAUACGCCCCCAUAACUACCCUCUGACCAGGGUUUACCUAGACCGAGCAGCCAUGGAUCACCACCAUUUCACUGGUAAUAAAUCUCCUAACAUCCCUAUUCCGUAUAACCUGGUUUUUAGUGUAGACACUCGUGAUAUUAUUCCAUUACCUACUCAUGCUUUGUUUGAUCCUGUUGCCAGGGCGGAUAUAGGAUUAUGCCUACAGACACCAUCGCCUACCGGAACACUCAGGCUGCCGCGGAGGCAGCACAGGAGGAGCCUCAGCAGUGGGAUGUGUGGAUGCCCGCUCCUCAACAGCCCUUCUACCCUCCAGGCUAUUGAGCGACUACCAAGUUAG